UUGCACUUGAAAGAUUUAACAUUGAGACGAGUGGCGAACUGGUGAGUAACACGUGGGUAACCUGCCCUUGAAGUAGGGGAUAACACUUGGAAACAGGUGCUAAUACCGUAUAACAACCAAAACCACCUGGUUUUGGUUUAAAAGACGGCUUCGGCUGUCACUUUAGGAUGGACCCGCGGCGUAUUAGCUUGUUGGUAAGGUAACGGCCUACCAAGGCGAUGAUACGUAGCCGACCUGAGAGGGUAAUCGGCCACAUUGGGACUGAGACACGGCCCAAACUCCUACGGGAGGCAGCAGUAGGGAAUCUUCCACAAUGGACGAAAGUCUGAUGGAGCAACGCCGCGUGAGUGAUGAAGGGUUUCGGCUCGUAAAACUCUGUUGUUGGAGAAGAACAGGUGUCAGAGUAACUGUUGACAUCUUGACGGUAUCCAACCAGAAAGCCACGGCUAACUACGUGCCAGCAGCCGCGGUAAUACGUAGGUGGCAAGCGUUGUCCGGAUUUAUUGGGCGUAAAGCGAGCGCAGGCGGUUUUUUAGGUCUGAUGUGAAAGCCUUCGGCUUAACCGGAGAAGUGCAUCGGAAACCGGGAGACUUGAGUGCAGAAGAGGACAGUGGAACUCCAUGUGUAGCGGUGAAAUGCGUAGAUAUAUGGAAGAA
RNAcentral lists this ribosomal RNA (656 nucleotides) under Lentilactobacillus buchneri. RNAcentral describes it as "bacterial SSU rRNA". It matches the Rfam family "Bacterial small subunit ribosomal RNA", at positions 62 to 706 of the family's 1533-position model. Lineage: Bacteria; Bacillati; Bacillota; Bacilli; Lactobacillales; Lactobacillaceae. The record is from RNAcentral.